This 252-nucleotide ribosomal RNA is filed under the name uncultured bacterium. Its description in RNAcentral is "partial 16S ribosomal RNA". It matches the Rfam family "Bacterial small subunit ribosomal RNA", at positions 524 to 776 of the family's 1533-position model. The record is from RNAcentral.
UACGAAGGGGGCUAGCGUUGCUCGGAAUCACUGGGCGUAAAGCGCACGUAGGCGGGUUGCUAAGUCGGGGGUGAAAUCCUGGAGCUCAACUCCAGAACUGCCUUCGAUACUGGCGACCUAGAGUCCGGGAGAGGUGAGUGGAACUCCGAGUGUAGAGGUGAAAUUCGUAGAUAUUCGGAAGAACACCAGUGGCGAAGGCGGCUCACUGGCCCGGUACUGACGCUGAGGUGCGAAAGCGUGGGAGCAACAGGG